This 2170-nucleotide long non-coding RNA is filed under the name Salmo trutta (river trout). Its description in RNAcentral is "lncRNA (ENSSTUG00000023230.1)". Lineage: Eukaryota; Metazoa; Chordata; Actinopteri; Salmoniformes; Salmonidae. The record is from RNAcentral.
AUGUCAAUGAUAGUUCAGACACAAUUAUUUAAACAUCAUUAUUACCAGCCAUUUUCUCUGUCCCCCAGGUCCCCUGAUGGCAGCCUGUUGUCAGAGUGUAACAGAGACUGCUCCUGCUUGGCUGGGGAGUGGGACCCUGUGUGUUCAGACAAUGGCAUCACCUACACCUCCCCCUGCCUCGCAGGCUGCUCCAGCUUUACAGGUUACGGCAAGAACACGGUACCAAUACUAUUAAUGUACUGAGUGUACAACACAUUCACAGGGAUGCUGGCCCAUGUUGACUCCAAUGCUUCCCACAGUUGUGUCAAAUUGUCUUUUGAGUGGUGAACCAUUCUUCAUACACACGGGAAACUGUUGAGCGUAAAAAACCCAGCAGCAUUGCAGUUCUUGACACAAACUGGUACCCCUGGCACAUACAACCAUGCCCCGUUGAAAGGCAUGUAAAUAUUUUGUCUUGCCCAUUCACCCUUUAAAUGGCACACAUACACAAUCCAUGUCUCAAUUGUCUCAAGCCUUACAAUAUUUUUUUAAACCUUUCUCCUCCUCUUUAUCUAUACUUAUUUAAGUGGAUUUAACUAGUGACAUCCAUAAGGGAUUAUAGCGUUAACCUGGAUUCACCUGGUCAGCAUAUGUCAUGGAAAGAGCAGGUGAUCUUAAUAUUUUAAUUAACUGGGGCCUUGUUGAGGCCUUAUCUAAGUAAGUAAUUGCUGAUUGACAAUAAAGUAUUAUUUUGAUGUAUGGGAAAAAAUAUGGUAUGCAAUUCCUAUGUAGAGAAGGUUCUCUCUGGUAGUUGUUCAAUAUGAUUUCAACUUAUACAGGGCACUCUUUUUUACUUUUCUUUAUUAACAAAUAUCAUCAAACAAAAGAAGAAUAGUCACAUGCAAACAAGCGUACUAACAAACUAUUUACAUUGCCAGGAAUCCUAAACAAACAAAUCAUAUUCAUUAAGACUACAAGUUUGAAUUGCCUUUUUGUUUUUCAUUAUAGUUAGUGAUGCCAUAUUGUUUAAACUCAUUUAUAAAGUGAAAAAAGUUAGGUUUUGAAUUAGGCCAUUGGCAUUUGUGAAUAUGAAAUGUACCUAGUAUUAUUAGCAGUUGAAUUAAAUAUGCUACAUCUUUAUCCGUCAGAAUUUCUGAAAUAAAUCAUUAUAUCAAAACCAUUAAAUAGUACAACCGGCCCAAUUUAUUUUGUAACAAAAUUCUGUAUGUCAAUCCAAAACAUUCUGCUAUAAAUACAGGUAAAAAACAAAUGCAAAAAUGGUCUCCUUUUCCAUUCCACAGAAAUCACAGUUAUAUUCAAUAUUCAGCUUGUGUCACGCCCUGACCAUAGAGAGCCCUCGGGGUUCUCUAUGGUGUUUUAGGUCAGGGCGUGACUAGGGGGGUUUCUAGGUAUUAUAUUUCUAUGUUGGUGUGUGUAUAUGGUUCCCAAUUGGAGGCAGCUGAUAAUCGUUACCUCUUAUUGGGGAUCAUACUUAGUGUGUCCUUUUUGUCCCACCUGCGAUGUGGGAUAUUGUUUUGUGUGAGUGCCUAUGUGAGUGCCUAUGAACCACACAGAGGUAGAGGCAGAGGGCCUUCAGGGCUAGCCAGUCAGCCUGCAUGCUCUGAUCCUCAAGUCAAUUGUAUUUAAAUUCAUGUUCAUUAAAGAUUUGUAUUCAAGAAUUGAAAAGUCCCAUUUACUUAAUGAUACUUUUUCGCUGUCUUCAACCCUCAAGAACCAGGGUGAGUCUGGGUCUCCCUUUUCCUGGGCAAACACAACUUGCAUAUCGUCAUAGACUAGGCCGAAACGUUAAUCUUUUAACCUUGCUUGAAUAAAGCAAUGCAUUUUUUAUAGUGAGCAAGAGUUGCGCUUUUUCCUUUUCUAUGAUCAUUCAAGUUUUUGGUUGCACCUCAACUCAACGUUGGUUUCUGUUUAUUUUAUUUUUACAGGGACAGUGCACAUUUAUCAACGUUUCAGUUAAGCCAGUUAGCCAGCCGGCUAAUUUUCAACCGCAGUCCCUGGGCAGGUUAUUAAAAAACAAUUACAAAUAGACAAUCAUUGAGCAGUGAGCACACGCAGAGCAACAUAGGACAAGCAAGACGUAGCAUACAGACAGAGCAACAUAGAAGAAAAAGCAACAAGACAAAAUCCAUUAAAGCAACAGUGUUUCCACACCUCACAAGCUACAGACAAC